This 611-nucleotide unclassified non-coding RNA is filed under the name Stylophora sp. D RA-2016. Its description in RNAcentral is "sequence contains 5.8S rRNA gene, ITS2, 28S rRNA gene". The stretch from base 382 to 611 matches the Rfam family "Eukaryotic large subunit ribosomal RNA", at positions 1 to 226 of the family's 3401-position model. Lineage: Eukaryota; Metazoa; Cnidaria; Anthozoa; Scleractinia; Pocilloporidae. The record is from RNAcentral.
GCAGAAUUCAGUGAAUCAUCGAAUCUUUGAACGCAAAUGGCGCUCUUGGGUUCUCCCAGGAGCAUGUCUGUCUGAGUGUCUUUUUCGUUGAAUGACAUUCGCACGAUGUGGCCGUGUCAUGCACUGGCGUUUCGUGCGGCGUUGAGGUUCACGGCCUUGCUAUUCUUAGGCCGCGUGCCUUUAAAUGGAGGAGGAAGAUGGGCUCAAGGUCCGGUGCAGUCGCAUGCGGAUUCAGUUCAUGUGCCGCAUGUGACUGCUGCACCGGGAAUAUUGUCCUCGGCCCUCUACCUCGUGACCUUUAGCACGACGCUCGUUCGUUCGUUCGUUCGUUCGUUCGUUCGUUCGUUCGUUCGUUCGUUCGUUCGUUCGUUGCUUGCCGCCAGACCUCAGAUCAGGCAAGGCUACCCGCUGAAUUUAAGCAUAUUAAUAAGCGGAGGAAAAGAAACUAACAAGGAUUCCCCCAGUAACGGCGAGUGAAGCGGGAAGAGCUCAAAUUUGAAAUCUCCGAUGCCUGCAUCGGCGAGUUGUAGUUGCGAGAAGCACUUUCUAGGCGGAAGGGCCCUGCCUAAGUUGCUUGGAACAGCACGUCGCAGAGGGUGACAACCCCGUCU